Molecule: ribosomal RNA, 253 nt
Filed under: uncultured bacterium
Lineage: Bacteria
Description: partial 16S ribosomal RNA
Rfam family: Bacterial small subunit ribosomal RNA
Source: RNAcentral
UACGGAGGGAGCUAGCGUUAUUCGGAAUUACUGGGCGUAAAGCGCACGUAGGCGGCUUUGUAAGUAAGCGGUGAAAGCCCAGAGCUCAACUCUGGAAUUGCCUUUUAGACUGCAUCGCUUGAAUCAUGGAGAGGUCAGUGGAAUUCCGAGUGUAGAGGUGAAAUUCGUAGAUAUUCGGAAGAACACCAGUGGCGAAGGCGGCUGACUGGACAUGUAUUGACGCUGAGGUGCGAAAGCGUGGGGAGCAAACAGG